This 440-nucleotide ribosomal RNA is filed under the name uncultured bacterium. RNAcentral's name for it is "partial 16S ribosomal RNA". It matches the Rfam family "Bacterial small subunit ribosomal RNA", at positions 338 to 795 of the family's 1533-position model. The record is from RNAcentral.
CCUACGGGAGGCAGCAGUAGGGAAUAUUGCACAAUGGGGGGAACCCUGAUGCAGCGACGCCGCGUGAGUGAAGAAGUAUUUCGGUGUGUAAAGCUCUAUCGGCAGGGAAGAAAAUGACGGUACCUGACUAAGAAGCACCGGCUAACUCCGUGCCAGCAGCCGCGGUAAUACGUAGGGGGCAAGCGUUAUCCGGAUUUACUGGGUGUAAAGGGGGCGCAGACGGGGAUGUAAGCCAGGAGUGAAAGCCCGGGGCCCAACCCCGGGACUGCACUUGAAACUGCGUGGCUGGAGUGCAGGAGGGGCAGGUGGAAUUCCUGGUGUAGCGGUGAAAUGCGUAGAUAUCAGGAGGAAUACUGGUGGCGAAGGCGGCCUGCUGGACUGCAACUGACGCUGAGGCCCGAAAGCGUGGGGAGCAAACAGGAUUAGAUACCCGUGUAGUC